This 233-nucleotide ribosomal RNA is filed under the name uncultured rumen protozoa. RNAcentral's name for it is "partial 18S ribosomal RNA". It matches the Rfam family "Eukaryotic small subunit ribosomal RNA", at positions 318 to 559 of the family's 1831-position model. The record is from RNAcentral.
GCUUUCGUUGGUAGUGUAUUGGACUACCAUGGCUCUCACGGGUAACAGGGAAUUAGGGUUCGAUUCUGGAGAAGGAGCCUGAGAAACGGCUACUACAUCUACGGAAGGCAGCAGGCGCGUAAAUUACCCAAUCCUGACUCAGGGAGGUGGUGACAAGAUAUAACAACGCGAUUUAUAUCGCGAUUGUAGUGAGGGUAUUCUAAACAGAACCUAUAGUACGAUUAGAGGGCAAG